This 587-nucleotide ribosomal RNA is filed under the name uncultured Glomus. Its description in RNAcentral is "eukaryotic LSU rRNA". It matches the Rfam family "Eukaryotic large subunit ribosomal RNA", at positions 204 to 637 of the family's 3401-position model. Lineage: Eukaryota; Fungi; Glomeromycota; Glomeromycetes; Glomerales; Glomeraceae. The record is from RNAcentral.
CAUGGAGGGUGAGAAUCCCGUCCGGCUGACCUUCAGGACGUUUUACGAUACGCUCUCAAAGAGUCGAGUUGUUUGGGAUUGCAGCUCAAAAUGGGAGGUAAAUUUCUCCUAAGGCUAAAUACCGGCGAGAGACCGAUAGCGAACAAGUACCGUGAGGGAAAGAUGAAAAGAAUUUUGAAAAGAAAGUCAAACAGUACGUGAAAUUGUUGAAAGGGAAACGAUUGAAGCCAGUCGUACCGACGGGAAUUCAACUUCUCGAGUGCUAAUCGUGGGUGACGUUGAGCCUCACGGCCUUCGUUGCUUGUGUUGUUGGUGCUUUUGGGGUGUACUUUUCCGUAUUGGUAGGUCAGCAUCGAUUUCCAUCGUCAUAAAAUGAUCGGGGGAAUGUAGCUUCGGUCUCGUAUCGGAGUGUUAUAGACCUUGGUAGAUGUGACGAUUGUGAUCGAGGAUUGCAACGAAUACCUUCUGGGCUAUCCGUCUGACCUCUGCAAAGUCUCUCGGGUGUCGAAAGCGUGCUUAUGGCUAUUCGAGUUGGCGGUCAAUAGGUUAGAACGUGAUUACAUUCGUUAAGGAUGUUGACGUAAUGG